RNAcentral lists this ribosomal RNA (550 nucleotides) under uncultured bacterium. RNAcentral's name for it is "bacterial SSU rRNA". It matches the Rfam family "Bacterial small subunit ribosomal RNA", at positions 355 to 896 of the family's 1533-position model. The record is from RNAcentral.
UAGGGAAUCUUCGGCAAUGGGGGCAACCCUGACCGAGCAACGCCGCGUGAGUGAAGAAGGUUUUCGGAUCGUAAAGCUCUGUUGUAAGUCAAGAACGAGUGUGAGAGUGGAAAGUUCACACUGUGACGGUAGCUUACCAGAAAGGGACGGCUAACUACGUGCCAGCAGCCGCGGUAAUACGUAGGUCCCGAGCGUUGUCCGGAUUUAUUGGGCGUAAAGCGAGCGCAGGUGGUUUGAUAAGUCUGAAGUUAAAGGCUGUGGCUCAACCAUAGUUCGCUUUGGAAACUGUCAAACUUGAGUGCAGAAGGGGAGAGUGGAAUUCCAUGUGUAGCGGUGAAACGCGUAGAUAUAUGGAGGAACACCGGUGGCGAAAGCGGCUCUCUGGUCUGUAACUGACGCUGAGGCUCGAAAGCGUGGGGAGCGAACAGGAUUAGAUACCCUGGUAGUCCACGCCGUAAACGAUGAGUGCUAGGUGUUGGAUCCUUUCCGGGAUUCAGUGCCGCAGCUAACGCAUUAAGCACUCCGCCUGGGGAGUACGACCGCAAGGUUG